This 77-nucleotide transfer RNA is filed under the name Desulfovibrio sp. RNAcentral describes it as "tRNA-Ile". It matches the Rfam family "tRNA". From Rfam's summary of the family: Transfer RNA (tRNA) molecules are approximately 80 nucleotides in length. Lineage: Bacteria; Pseudomonadati; Thermodesulfobacteriota; Desulfovibrionia; Desulfovibrionales; Desulfovibrionaceae. The record is from RNAcentral.
GGGCCCAUAGCUCAGUUGGUUAGAGCGUCCGGCUCAUAACCGGCAGGUCCCAGGUUCGAAUCCUGGUCGGCCCACCA